Molecule: small RNA, 594 nt
Filed under: Pongo abelii (Sumatran orangutan)
Lineage: Eukaryota; Metazoa; Chordata; Mammalia; Primates; Hominidae
Description: processed transcript
Source: RNAcentral
GAGUGCCCGGCGGCGGGUCCUCAGCUCCUAGCCGAGGUGCAGUGAGCUGGUGGGGGGACCGCGAGGCGAGCGCGGGAGCCUGGGCGGCGAGCCGGGUGUUAGUUGCCUGAAAAUGCACUCGGAUGCCGCCGCUGUCAAUUUUCAGCUGAACUCUCAUCUCUCAACACUGGCAAAUAUUCAUAAGAUCUACCACACCCUUAAUAAGCUGAACCUAACAGAAGACAUUGGCCAAGACGAUCACCAAACAGGAAGUCUGCGGUCUUGCAGUUCUUCAGACUGCUUUAAUAAAGUGAUGCCACCAAGGAAAAAGAGAAGACCUGCCUCUGGAGAUGAUUUAUCUGCCAAGAAAAGUAGACAUGAUAGCAUGUAUAGAAAAUAUGAUUCAACUAGAAUAAAGACUGAAGAAGAAGCCUUUUCAAGUAAAAGGUGCUUGGAAUGGUUCUAUGAAUAUGCAGGAGCUGAUGAUGUUGUAGGCCCUGAAGGCAUGGAGAAAUUUUGUGAAGACAUUGGUGUUGAACCAGAAAACACGGAGUCUCUCACUGUCGCCAGGCUGGAGUGCAAUGGUAUGAUGUCGGCUCACUGCAAGCUCCGCCU